GUUACAUAAUAGUACGGAGUUUUUUCCCCUAUUCCACCAUCUGUGUUCGUGUUCGAUUGAAAUCAGCUAUGGUCAUACUGGAAAAUCUACCACUAUAAACGUCAGCGAUCAACAUCAACAGAGACACUAUAGCACAUAGCAUUAAACGCACUAUUGCUUCACUCUUUGUACACACUUUGACAUCACUUAUGGUUUGGCGCGCGUCGUACGUUUUUCAAACGUUUAUGUUUGAUUCAAAUCCAACAUCAGAUGUAAUGUACUACGAAUGAAGCUUGCCCCACGUCAGAUCGAUUGGCCCUACAUUCAUCGAGCAUUUCUUUAUUUAAACGUUGCUUACGUCUUUUGAAACGUCAUUCGAACCACUGAUAAAAUACAAAACACCCAUUUGCACGUUAUGCAAGGUAGUACGUCGAAGAUUGUUAUUACGUAAUAAAUACAUUGAUACUAAAUUGGAAAUCAACAAUCGCACCGAAUUUGAUACACUUCAAAUGUUUUGGUUUCAAAGUGGCUGCGAAUUGAACGUUGGUAAAAACUGAUUUAGGCCAAUUUGAAGUAAGAUAAUAAAAUUUAAAAGGUUAAAUCAAGGAUAUCUUACGCCAUUUCAUCUUAUAUGUUUUUAAUUGAAUAUUAACUUGACAAAGUUAAUAAGUUCGAACCUCUAUAAUUUGUUCAAUUUAUAUAUCAUUUUUCAAUAAAUUGAUUUGAAACUACCUCAAAACUGCAAUGAGUUAUUUGUUAUGCGAACGCUCAAACGGCCAUUGUUGAUGUAGGGACCAAUCCAGUAAUCCACAGACAUGCAAUGGCUACUGGAUGACAAAUCUACAACACACUCGAAUGCGUAUAUUUGCGCGCACAUUAACAGUGGCCGUUUGAGCGUUCGCAUAACAAAUAACUCAUUGCAGUUUACUUUUGAGAUAAUUUCGCCCAAAAGUAGUUGAAACCGCUAUAUUCAGUCUAGGUAAUAUUACUCACUAAAACACAACUACUGGGAAGAGUUCUAGAUUGAGUUAAAUGUUCACACCUAAUCCAAUGUAUUGAAACUCCAUAUACAUGCUCGGAGUAUGUGUUUUUUACAAAUACUAAUCAAUACUUCCAUAUGUAUGACAAAAAACCGGCCUUUCAUUUACAUUUUAAAUGAAUAUUGAUAAAAAUUGCAGACGGUUUAAAUUAGUAAGUAAUAAAAAUGUAGCUCCAAAU
Long non-coding RNA from Sitodiplosis mosellana (orange wheat blossom midge), 1197 nucleotides. RefSeq lists it as uncharacterized. Lineage: Eukaryota; Metazoa; Arthropoda; Insecta; Diptera; Cecidomyiidae. The record is from RefSeq and is a predicted model, not a curated record. The transcript is spliced from 3 exons.